CCAGUGACCAAACAUAUUC
RNAcentral lists this microRNA (19 nucleotides) under Echinococcus granulosus. Its description in RNAcentral is "egr-miR-190-3p". Its record names the gene egr-miR-190-3p. The record is from miRBase by way of RNAcentral. Lineage: Eukaryota; Metazoa; Platyhelminthes; Cestoda; Cyclophyllidea; Taeniidae. RNAcentral also lists the same sequence under 1 other name.